AUGGAAUUCGCCCUCGUCGACGGCGAGAAGUUCUCGCCCUCCUGCUCCACGCUUGUCAUGCCCGCGCUUUCGAUCGGCAACGUGGGGCAGCUCGCCGUGGACCUGCUGAUACCUUCGGCGAAGGCGAGGCGCGUGGCGUACCUCGACGAGCCCUCCGUGCUGCCCUGCAUCGGCAACGACGCCUUCGGACCGGACGCCGUCGGCGACCUCGCGCUCGCGCUCGAAGAAUACGAAUCACCGUCUCACGGGCUGGCUUUCAUUCAACAAAGAUCUCCAGUUAUUACGGGGAUGAUGGUUUCGUUUGCCAAAAAUGUUGCUAAUUUCAUCAGUAGCAUUGGGAAGGACCAUGUUGUUAUUCUUUCAAGUUUAGAUUCUGGCAAGAGAAGAGUAAUUGAUGCAUCCAGUGAUAUGCUGUAUUACCUUUCAAGCUGCAAUGAGGAUGGUUCUGAUCCAGAAUGUGAGAAACUAGGGUGGAAGAAACUUGAGGAAUAUGAUCCAUCUCAACGACUGUGGAAAUGUCUUGCUAGUCUAAUUGAGGGUGGUGUUCUUUCAGAAGAUAUGGCUGAUGAUCCUGAAGAGAUGACCGCAAGUGAUUACUACGCGACCUUGCCAUUUGCAGCUCUAUUCUUUGCCUGCAAGGCCAAAGGUUUGAAAGUUAGCUGUGUAUUAUGUUACUGUUCAGAAGGGGACAAUAUGCCAGAAUCUUUCCACUUAGCAGAAGCAGUAUGCAAACUUCGAGGUCAAGACCCUGAACAAUUCCACGGAAAUGGGUCAAAUGGAUGGACUAUUCCCUUGUCAUGGAAAUCAAUUUAUGGACCACCUCCUGAUAUGUCUAUUUUCUAG
RNAcentral lists this ribosomal RNA (843 nucleotides) under Triticum aestivum (bread wheat). Its description in RNAcentral is "partial small subunit ribosomal RNA". Lineage: Eukaryota; Viridiplantae; Streptophyta; Magnoliopsida; Poales; Poaceae. The record is from RNAcentral.